GUACACGCUGUGACUAGCAUAUCAAUAAGCGGAGGAAAAGAAACUAACAAGGAUUCCCCUAGUAACGGCGAGUGAAGCGGGAAGAGCUCAAAUUUGAAAUCUUAAAGGGUUUCCCUUUACGAAUUGUAGUUUAAAGAAGUGUUUUCUGUUGAGGUUUUGGUAAAAGUUCUUUGGAAUAGGACAUCAUAGAGGGUGAGAAUCCCGUAUUUGACCUUUACUUUCAACUUUGUGAUACACUUUCAAAGAGUCGGAUUGUUUGGGAAUGCAGUCCAAAAUGGGUGGUAAAUUUCAUCUAAAGCUAAAUAUUGGCGAGAGACCGAUAGCGAACAAGUACCGUGAGGGAAAGAUGAAAAGAACUUUGAAAAGAGAGUUAAACAGUACGUGAAAUUGUCAAAAGGGAAGCGUUUGACACCAGUGUUGUUUUUCUGAAAAUCAAUUAAAGAACUGUUUAUGCUAAGUUGUUUAGACUUUAUCAGCUAUCUGUUUAGUUUUGAGCUUUUCUUUAAUGCACUUUUCAGUUAACAAGUCAACAUCAAUUUCUUUUGCUGUAAAAAAGCUUGAGGAAGGUGGCUUGAGAUUCGUCUUAAGUGUUUAUAGCCUCUUGCCUAUGCAGUCGGAGAGAUUGAGGUCUGCAGCGUAGAUCCUUCGGGGCUAAAUGCAUUUGUGCUAAGUUAUAGCAUUUUAUAAACAACUUGUUGACUAUGAUUUGUCUUGUAGCUUACUCGCUUAUGUUAUUUUACCUACGCUUAGGAUGUUGAUAUGCAUGACUGAUAU
Molecule: ribosomal RNA, 774 nt
Filed under: uncultured Neocallimastigales
Lineage: Eukaryota; Fungi; Neocallimastigomycota; Neocallimastigomycetes; Neocallimastigales
Description: partial large subunit ribosomal RNA
Rfam family: Eukaryotic large subunit ribosomal RNA
Source: RNAcentral